Non-coding RNA from Acanthosepion pharaonis, 71 nucleotides. Lineage: Eukaryota; Metazoa; Mollusca; Cephalopoda; Sepiida; Sepiidae. The record is from the annotation of a GenBank genome assembly.
AAAAACACCGGUUCUCGUUCGAUCACCGAAGUUAAGCAUCGUAGAGCCAGGUCAGUACUUAGAUGGGGGAG